RNAcentral lists this ribosomal RNA (194 nucleotides) under uncultured Alphaproteobacteria bacterium. RNAcentral describes it as "partial 16S ribosomal RNA". It matches the Rfam family "Bacterial small subunit ribosomal RNA", at positions 315 to 524 of the family's 1533-position model. The record is from RNAcentral. Lineage: Bacteria; Pseudomonadati; Pseudomonadota; Alphaproteobacteria.
AGGGGUGGGGGUUUCCCGGUGUGCCUACGGAAAGGUAGCAGUGGGGAAUAUUGGACAAUGGGCGCAAAGCCUGUUCCCUCAAUGCCGCGUGAGUGAUGAAGGCCUUUGGGUUGUGAAGCUCUUUUACCCGGGAUGAUAAUGACAGUACCGGGAGAAUAAGCUCCGGNUAACUCCGUGYCAGCAGCCGCGGUAAU